CCAAAGGCUCUUUUAAGAGCCACUUAAAUUGUCGAUAUUAGAGCUGU
Molecule: regulatory RNA element, 47 nt
Organism: Pan troglodytes (chimpanzee)
Lineage: Eukaryota; Metazoa; Chordata; Mammalia; Primates; Hominidae
Rfam family: Histone 3' UTR stem-loop
About the family: The mRNAs of metazoan histone genes lack a poly-A tail. 3' end processing occurs at a site between a highly conserved stem-loop (modelled by this family) and a purine rich region around 20 nts downstream (the histone downstream element, or HDE). The stem-loop is bound by a 31 kDa stem-loop binding protein (SLBP - also termed the histone hairpin binding protein, or HBP).
Source: Rfam